This 309-nucleotide long non-coding RNA is filed under the name Mus caroli (Ryukyu mouse). Its description in RNAcentral is "lncRNA (MGP_CAROLIEiJ_G0004625.1)". The record is from RNAcentral. Lineage: Eukaryota; Metazoa; Chordata; Mammalia; Rodentia; Muridae.
AUGAUAGCAUGGAGACACUCCAAGGAGCCUCUCUCCACCAUCUUCAUCCCUGAACAUCCAUCUCCUUGUGGGUUGCAAACACGAACAGGCCAAGUGGUGGUGCCCCUGUCAGUCACUCACCGCUCUCUGGAGCUGAAGAUCAAGCCUCGCUUCGUUUGCUUUGUCAUCUACAUUUUUGUGCAGACAAGUUUUGAACAGGCUCUGUGGCGUUCACUCCAGUCCCAGCCAUUCCUGGGGAUGAAUAGACAUUUGAUGAAGCCUGGAAGGACAGUUGAAACAUUUCAUCUGACGGACCUCAACUUUUCCUGA